Molecule: long non-coding RNA, 292 nt
Organism: Anser brachyrhynchus (Pink-footed goose)
Lineage: Eukaryota; Metazoa; Chordata; Aves; Anseriformes; Anatidae
Source: Ensembl
UGGCAGACCAUGCAGUUCAAUAAAUAAAACCAUGUUUUUUUUCAUAGGAAAACUCCUUUCCUGGGAGUUACAGACGUGGUCCCUGCCAAGGCAGUAUAUCUCAGUGAUACAGAGACGGACCGAGAUUGUUUCCCAUUUCCCAUCAACAGCCAAGGGAUGUGGCAAACGAAUAUUACAGGGCCCUGAGCCAGGAAGAGCUUGUCUGUAUGAAAUUACAGCCCCGGAGAAGAGCAGCUUAAUUCAGUGUGGUGUUAGUAAAAGAAGCGCAGGAAACUUGAAGUUGACCUCUUGA